GGCACCAUGGCUCAGUUGGUCAAAGCGCCUGUCUAGUAAACAGGAGAUCCUGGGUUCAACUCCCAGUGGUGCCU
This is a non-coding RNA of Pseudopodoces humilis (Tibetan ground-tit), 74 nucleotides long. NCBI's taxonomy places the organism in Eukaryota, Metazoa, Chordata, Aves, Passeriformes, Paridae. The record is from the annotation of a RefSeq genome assembly.